GGAGGGUGGAGACUGACCUAAGGGGAACACAUUCUGAAGGAAGGACUGUUGGCCACUUAUCUUAUCCCCUAGAGACCAAUCUGUUUAAAGGUAAUACUACUGUUCUGCCAAUCACAUUGUACCUAAUGGUAUAAAAGGUCUGCUGUGCAGACUGCACAGGUCAUUCUCUGUGUGCAGGGUGACCACAACAUUUGGUGCGUGGGACGGGCACCUGACCUCCUGUGGGGACACGCUGGAGUAGUGUAUCGGAGGUCUCCAGCAGAUGUUCAUGAACCAGAAGGCUGAAGACCAAUGCUCCGACGUUUUGAAGUAUAAAUUGUCCAGCCCACGUCCACAGGACUAUAUGCCAAGAGAGAGGACUGCUCACAUCAGAGAAAACAAAUAAGAAAUCUUAGACCUCUUGGAUGCCCUAAUGAAGCCAGCAACUAUGGGUUGCUGCUUUCCCCACCAAGAAGGAAACAGCUGCCAUGAGAGCUAAAAAAGCUUAGAAGAAAUUUUCCCAAGUUUCAGAGUGCCCAAGGUAACCGGAUCAGACAAUGGUCCUGCUUUUGUCUCUUAAGCAUCCCUGGACCAUUGGGGGGCUGAUCCAUUGUGACUGAUCAAGAGGCUCCUGCCCCACCCCACCCCCAGCCUCUGCCCAGCUGCUCCUAUCCAGAGAGAGAGAAAGAGAGAGAGAAAGGAGAAACUUCCUGCCCUACAUCUAUUCCCUUGGGUAAGAGUUAAGAAAAUUUUAGGACUUGACCUUAUUACCUGGACUCACUUUUGUGGCCACUCCAGAAUAAGAACCCAGAGUGCUCAGACCAGGUCCAGUCCUGGGGGACAGGGC
Long non-coding RNA from Apodemus sylvaticus (European woodmouse), 826 nucleotides. RefSeq lists it as uncharacterized. NCBI's taxonomy places the organism in Eukaryota, Metazoa, Chordata, Mammalia, Rodentia, Muridae. The record is from RefSeq and is a predicted model, not a curated record. The transcript is spliced from 5 exons.